CCUACGGGUGGCUGCAGUGGGGAAUAUUGGACAAUGGGGGCAACCCUGAUCCAGCCAUGCCGCGUGUGUGAAGAAGGCCCUCGGGUUGUAAAGCACUUUCAGUGAGGAAGAACGCCUGGUGGUUAAUACCCAUCAGGAAAGACAUCACUCACAGAAGAAGCACCGGCUAACUCCGUGCCAGCAGCCGCGGUAAUACGGAGGGUGCGAGCGUUAAUCGGAAUUACUGGGCGUAAAGCGCGCGUAGGUGGCUUGAUAAGCCGGUUGUGAAAGCCCCGGGCUCAACCUGGGAACGGCAUCCGGAACUGUCAAGCUAGAGUGCAGGAGAGGAAGGUAGAAUUCCCGGUGUAGCGGUGAAAUGCGUAGAGAUCGGGAGGAAUACCAGUGGCGAAGGCGGCCUUCUGGACUGACACUGACACUGAGGUGCGAAAGCGUGGGUAGCAAACAGGAUUAGAUACCCGGUAGUC
Molecule: ribosomal RNA, 464 nt
Filed under: Vreelandella stevensii
Lineage: Bacteria; Pseudomonadati; Pseudomonadota; Gammaproteobacteria; Oceanospirillales; Halomonadaceae
Description: partial 16S ribosomal RNA
Rfam family: Bacterial small subunit ribosomal RNA
Source: RNAcentral